RNAcentral lists this ribosomal RNA (460 nucleotides) under uncultured bacterium. RNAcentral describes it as "partial 16S ribosomal RNA". It matches the Rfam family "Bacterial small subunit ribosomal RNA", at positions 338 to 795 of the family's 1533-position model. The record is from RNAcentral.
CCUACGGGUGGCAGCAGUGAGGAAUAUUGGUCAAUGGGAGGAAUCCUGAACCAGCCAUGCCGCGUGCAGGACGACGGCCCUACGAGUUGUAAACUGCUUUUAUACCGGAGUAAAAUGCUCCACGAGUGGGGUUUUGAAAGUACGGUACGAAUAAGGAUCGGCUAACUCCGUGCCAGCAGCCGCGGUAAUACGGAGGAUCCGAGCGUUAUCCGGAUUUAUUGGGUUUAAAGGGAGCGUAGGUGGGUUUUUAAGUUAGCUGUGAAAUACCGAUGCUCAACAUCGGGGCUGCAGCUGAUACUGUCAGACUAGAGUACAGAUGAGGCAGGCGGAAUGUGUGGUGUAGCGGUGAAAUGCAUAGAUAUUACGAAGAACACCGAUUGCGAAGGCAGCUUGCUAGGCUGCAACUGACACUGAUGCACGAAAGCGUGGGGAUCGAACAGGAUUAGAUACCCUUGUAGUC